UUCAAUUCAGUUCAGUUUUAUUCAUAUUGCCCACUAUUGAAACACGGUUGUCUUAACGGGUUUACACCAGCAACAACACACACACAAAGGACUAUAGGUAAGUCAGUAGCAGAAAAAAAAGAAACGCAAGGAAUGUACACAUGAAGAGGGGAUCCUCUACCAGGAUGGACAGGCGAUGUACCAGGACUGUUAAAGAAGAAUUCUUUUAUGUAACACCACAACUACGUGUUUAAAUAGUGUAGCAGAUGGGCUUCAUUCAGAUAAAACGGGGAUGGUCAGGGCACGACGAGCCAGAGGUGAGGUCUACGGCCAAGGAUGGGAGCAGGAGCACAGACGAGCCAACUGAAAUCUGGAAAUCACUUUUGUCCGCAUUGCUAUUUGGACAUUUUAAACUUUCAUAUAUAUCUAUAUCUAUAUCUAUAUAUCUAUAUAUCAAUAAUAACAAUCCACAGAACUAAUCUCUAGAAAAUAAACAAGUGGCAGGAAAUUGUGCAAUGGCAAAAAUCUAUCAUUAAAAUCAGAAUUUCGAAAAUAAAUGUCAGUUAUAAGGUCAGAGUUAAAAACAGAAAAUCCAAAACAGUCAAAGUUGUAAAGUCCAAAGAAGGAAAAGAAAACUGGAGAUGGUUAAAAACAUCCAUAAAGAAAUAAACAAGGGUAUGGCAGCAUAAUGUUUUAUUUUAAUUAGGGUUGUGCUUAUGUCAAGCCCCUGAAAAGACCAGCAGUAUUUUUUAACACCCUUUUACAUAAAUUAAAGAGAUGGAACACAUACAGCAGUCGAGGAUAGUCAUGCAGUUGAGCAUUAAAGAACUGUUCUUCUUGUUUUUCGACAUGUAGAGUUACUGCUCAUAAAGUUUCUCAAGCCAGCUGUAGACGAUAAGGAUGCUGGGUUAAUGUGAGUUGGCACACUGUCUUAUUUGAGCAAUGCUGGAGAAUUUCUGCUCCUCUUCCCUCCCCGAAGGACACUGGCAACAAAGUGGGGCAAUGAAGGAUUCUUUGAUUUAAAAUCAGUUGAACCAUUUUGACCUUUUCAAAAAUAUCAAAGCAGCAACUUUGCGUGAUUCCUUGUAGUAACUGCAAUUCAAUCAAACAUGCAAGUGUCAGAGCAGAUGGCAGAUUAUAGGAUGAUUUCCAGUCAUGCUUUCUUUUACUCUUUGCUUUAAUUUCAUUGCUUGGUUCCUUGAGCUGCACAGAAGCUUAUGGGUUCUCAAGCUUCUGUGCCGCUUAGGCAUGCAUAAAUAAUGAGACAAAGCUUGAAACUGUUCCUUGCAGGUGUUAAGAGAUAACAAUCAUUGAAAUAGCAAGAGUUGUACAACAAGGCUCCCCACCACUGAUUAACUAAAGUUAUUUGUAUGUGACUCAACAUCUACCCUUCUUCUCUUAGAAAAGGUCGUUGACCCUGUCAUGGAGAUGACCUGUUAAAAAACAGUAGGCUUGUGUUAUCUGUAUGCCCUUGGAGUAUACGCCUAUUGAUAUGCCACCGUGACUCUAUCUUCAUGCCAAAAUGCUUCCAAUUAUACGAGCCGGUGGAGUGAGGCAGGGCGUGGGUUUCUGUACGAUGAAAACUGGUCGAUGUGAUUUGAUCCUGCUUUUUUUUUUUUCCUCAUAAACACUAUUUGCUCAACAGUUCCCUCAAUUCAUCUCUUUUUCCCAAAGUCCUAUAGACACGCAGAAGUAAAUUGAUCUAUUUUAUUAAUUGUACACCAAAGGGACUUUAUCAGACCAUCAGUGGUUAUCUUUAACAGUCCAAUAUGUCAAUAGGGGAUGUGGGCAUUUUGAGCCUUUCUUUAGGUGCAGCAUGUGGUCAAACAGCCUGGAUGAGCUGAUCACUCUGAGCGGAUUUGUCGCUAACAAUCUGUCACACAGCUGAAGUGUCAGGCUAAGAGAUGGAUGGCCCCCAGCAAAAUGAUGGGUAGAUGGAGAAGAGUUAAGUAUAUAGUCCCAGAAUUGUCACUGGGACAUUGUUUGUUCCAAAAAUAUACCUAAUGCUUCCCAGGGAAAUUCGGGGUGAUCUGUCUUCUUCUGUUCACUUAUUCUCUUCUCACCUCUCUCAUCCAACUGUCAAUGGUAAAUACUUUUGAGUUUAAAAAAAUAAUUUCCCUUGGCAUCCCUUUUUUUUUUUUUUUUUAAGAAAAAUGCACAUAUUUUCUGUUUUCCAGAAGAGGGCAGCACUUCUUUGCCAAACAUCAUCAUCCCUUCAGUUUACAAAACAUUCAAAGCUCAUUCAUUCUUUUUGCACAUCAGACCCCUAAUAUUUGGGGGUCACAGAAAAGCCAGAGUCUGUCACAGAUCCCAAAUAAGUAAUAAAUUAACUAAGUUAGAGUAUGUUUACACAAACAAAAAAACACAGAGCAUGAGGAAUUAAAAAAAAAUUCCCAUUGAAGCUGUUGAGGUUCAUGAAAAACUCUGCAACCCAAAAUGCAGUGAACUUCUGUCACCUCUAGUUGCACCUCCACUUGAUCUUCUUCACCCUCUCUUCCCUUUCUCUGUCGUUUAGCCUCCCUUUUUGUCCCCCCUACUUCUCCCUCAAAGCUUCGGCUCCACCCUAUAAUCACGCCAGUUCAUGGCUCUCAUUUGGAGUGGUAUAUAUAGCAGUAAUUGUCAGGGUGCAGUACAGCGACUGGGCAGAGCAUGUGUACUCUCUCACAGAGCUGUUUUGCAGUAAAUCUCCCAGGGGAGAGGAGAAGAGAGGGUGGGGAGGAGUUGGGGUUACGUACGUGCACAAGAACAUGCGCGCACGCACACGCAGACAAAUUAAUUUACACGUUUUGCUCAAACAGUGCAUACGUGCAUGGAUGACUAGUUGAAAUUUCUCGAGCACCUUCAGCAAGAAAAGGCAUUAGCAAGCACUUUCUCCGCCUUUGUAAGUCACUUUGUAACACUGCCUAUCUGUCUUCACAGCGAGGUUGGCAUGAACACAGAGCAUGUCUCAAAAUGUGUUUUUCCAUCAACAGAAAACAAUUAUUCAAGGAGGCAUCUCCUACUUACAGCCACGAGUAAGAGCAAAUCAAUUAUAAGCAGGAGAAAGCUCUAGACAUCAUUUGUUUAGGUUCUAGGAGCAGAGGCUCAUCUCACAAUGCGUGAUAAAUAAAUGAGUCACUUUGGGACAAAAUGCUCCCAUGUGCCCUUCAGGGAAACACAAAAGGCUUUUUAAAAUUUAAAGGUUGAUCCAAAUCCCUCAUCGUCAGAGGUGCACAGAACGCAGCCUCCAUAGGGGAUGAUGGCAGACGUUUGUUAUGACAUUUUGCACAUGGGCCUGUGAAAGUAUUUUAAAGGGGGGGUGCAGCUUGUAUGGACAGGUCUGUCUUUCACACAGCACACACAGUCUCCAUUGUGGAACUGUCUGUGGUCCCCAUCGACUAAGGGUGGGGUGGCAGGGGGCCUUCUACAUAAAAACAUGGUCCUGCACACAGAAAGCAAAAACCGUGAGGAUAAAAUGAGAACUGCGUGGUCAUGAACGUGCAGUCUUCAGAAGCCUUUCUCUUUUUGGUUGGAUUCACCUCAACACAGCACACGGGUAUGCUUGGAUUUUCAGAUGUGCGUCCUGAGAUGUAAUCAAAGUCUGACAAAAUCACAUUCUUUGAAAACUAUUUUUAGAUGCAAGUGUGUGCCAUAGGAGCCUAUCGUUCUGAUCUCUUCCAAGUUGGAAUCGCUUCCAGAAUCAAUGGAUUCCUGUUUAGCUAGAAUUUUGAAUAGAAGAUUCAUUCUUCCAUCCGUGCUCCGUGCGUACACCUGUGGAGCAGGCUGGAGCCUAUCUCACCAGUUACGGGUUGAGGGACGGGGUAUGCUCAGAUAAGCAGUUCAACACAAAACCCAGACAGACUAGCAGGUACACUCACACUUCUAUCUGGUUGACUGAAACCCCCCCCCCCCCUGGUGAAAGGCACACAGAUGUUAACAGGAAUAGACUGUGCUUAAAGUAAAUGAAAGGAUGCAGAACACGUGUUAGUGCACUUGAUGAACCCAGGUACUCUGCUUUCAUGUAUUCUUUCCUGUUUGUCCAGUAGCACUUUUAUCCCAGCCAGUGACCACUUCGCUGUUUAUUUUCUGGGUGGAUUUGUCAGCUGUGAUCAAAUCGUACUUUUGUUGAAUUUUUUUUUUUCUUUCAUUGCUGAUUACUCCACCCAGUUCUAGCAGACCCAAUGCGCUUGAGUUCAGGCGUUACAUUUGGGCUUGGUCUGUGUAUUUUUGUUUCUAGACUAGUUAAGUGAUUUCUCAGUUCCCAGGACAGGUUGUAUUUACAGAGGAUUUAUUUCAAGCACAUCUAACAGCUUGAAAAAGUUUGUCUUUGCAUCGGUUAUUCCCAAAGGUUCUUAGGAACACCUGAGGCUACAGGCGGAGGUGUAACCAGUUUUUGGGUAAAUUCAGUCUUCCUUUGAAUCAACUCAAAGGGGCAUCCUUAUAAAUGCAAAACUUUCCUUUUUUUUUAUUUCCAGCUGCAGUCUGUGCAUUUCCCAGAGCUAAGGAAACCUCCCCUGACAGUCUGGCAUUCAGCACCCCUGUGUAGAAAGGUGGUCUCAGUGUCCCAUCAGAUCAAUGUUCAACAAAGCAUUUACUAUCUAAAGAUGACAAUUGCAGUUUAUAGGAUACUUUUUGAUCAAUUAUUGUUUGGUGUCGAGCAUUAACAUCAAGACGGGGAAAGAAAAUGAAGGCUUAGUGUUAGAUGAAGGUUUAUUGAUUCACAGUAAUGAUGAGUGAAUGGAUUGUGUUUUGACUCUGACUCAGCCAGUGUGUAUCCACAGUUAUCUGAACUUCCCCUCAGGGCAAAAACAAACAAAAGCACAUCACAUGCGCGCUUUAAAUUUUACCUGUGAAAAAAAAAAAA
Oryzias latipes (Japanese medaka) is the source of this 4822-nucleotide non-coding RNA. Lineage: Eukaryota; Metazoa; Chordata; Actinopteri; Beloniformes; Adrianichthyidae. The record is from RefSeq and is a predicted model, not a curated record.